RNAcentral lists this long non-coding RNA (326 nucleotides) under Cricetulus griseus (Chinese hamster). RNAcentral's name for it is "lncRNA (ENSCGRG00015041530.1)". Lineage: Eukaryota; Metazoa; Chordata; Mammalia; Rodentia; Cricetidae. The record is from RNAcentral.
CUGAGAGGAAGGAACCUCAACUGAGAAAAUGCCUCCAUAAGAUGGGGCUAUAGCUGUUUCAAAGGGGCACACGGUGAUCCUCAGAUGUAGUGGACAUGCAGAGAACUGCGUUUGUUAGUCUGCCACCACCACCACUAGCCAGAGGGUUUCAUCCAACAACUUCAUCUUCAAGAGACAACACAGAUAGACCCUUCCUAGUAGGGCUGUCCAUGGGGAUUUUAGUCUCAACAGGUGGAAUUAACUCUUCUUUUACUUCCAACAUUGAUUUUUUAAAAAGACAUGUACUAAAAAGCAAUUUAUUCUAACUACCUCAUAUCUUUCCACAG